GAUGAACGCUGGCGGCGUGCCUAAUACAUGCAAGUCGAGCGAACAGACGAGGAGCUUGCUCCUCUGACGUUAGCGGCGGACGGGUGAGUAACACGUGGAUAACCUACCUAUAAGACUGGGAUAACUUCGGGAAACCGGAGCUAAUACCGGAUAAUAUAUUGAACUGCAUGGUUCAAUAGUGAAAGACGGUUUUGCUGUCACUUAUAGAUGGAUCCGCGCCGCAUUAGCUAGUUGGUAAGGUAACGGCUUACCAAGGCAACGAUGCGUAGCCGACCUGAGAGGGUGAUCGGCCACACUGGAACUGAGACACGGUCCAGACUCCUACGGGAGGCAGCAGUAGGGAAUCUUCCGCAAUGGGCGAAAGCUUGACGGAGCAACGCCGCGUGAAUGAUGAAGGUCUUCGGACCGUAAAACUCUGUUAUUAGGGAAGAACAAAUGUGUAAGUAACUAUGCACGUCUUGACGGUACCUAAUCAGAAAGCCACGGCUAACUACGUG
This 497-nucleotide ribosomal RNA is filed under the name uncultured bacterium. Its description in RNAcentral is "partial 16S ribosomal RNA". It matches the Rfam family "Bacterial small subunit ribosomal RNA", at positions 28 to 507 of the family's 1533-position model. The record is from RNAcentral.